AAAAACCAGAACAUGUCGAUCACCAUUCACCAACCAAAUUUUAUAAUCAUACCAAAAAUAAAAUAACUAAUUUAUCAACCAAAAUGUCGCCGUGUGCAGAAAUUUCAGGUUUCGAUAAAAUUAAACAAAAAGUACCUUUGAGAUUUUUUAUUUGGUAAUUUUGAUCGGAUAGCGUGGAUUCAUAUGUGAUGGCGAUCUGUCGGAAAAAGCAAAGCGGAAGUCAAUUUUGAUUCAAAAAGAUGACGGUAAUUACUUGCCUUGUCAGGCGAGAAGAUGACCCACGAACAAAGAAAACUAGGUCCCCAAGUGGAGGUAUUUUUCUAUGUUAAAAAAGCUUUACGAGUUACAACGUUUACGUUUAUCUUUGAUUUUUUAUUUGAUAAACACAAAGAUAAUCAAAUGAAAAUCGUAUACAACAAUAUUGAUUAAAAUUUUGGAUCCACAACAAUAUUGACCAAUUAAAUGAAUCUUUCUGUUUUUUAGUCAAUUAUUCUCUAAAAUUGCAGAUCAGAAUUAAUUAACAGGAUGGAUUACGAACCCAUUUGGGAGGUGACCACAAAUGUACCAAUCAGACUCGAACCCAUUUAUAAUUAUAUGAUUUAUAAUUACUGACCAAGUCAACGCAGAAAUUUAUAAUCAAUGAAAUGGAAUAUUUUUUUAUAGUUUAAAUAGUCAACGUAGAAAUGUGAACCACAACCAACCCAUCUCUUC
RNAcentral lists this long non-coding RNA (711 nucleotides) under Zostera marina. Its description in RNAcentral is "long non-coding RNA (ZMAR_LNC003554)". Lineage: Eukaryota; Viridiplantae; Streptophyta; Magnoliopsida; Alismatales; Zosteraceae. The record is from RNAcentral.